GAUGAACGCUGGCGGCGUGCCUAAUACAUGCAAGUCGAGCGAACGGACGAGAAGCUUGCUUUUCUGAUGUUAGCGGCGGACGGGUGAGUAACACGUGGAUAACCUACCUAUAAGACUGGGAUAACUUCGGGAAACCGGAGCUAAUACCGGAUAAUAUUUUGAACCGCAUGGUUCAAAAGUGAAAGACGGUCUUGCUGUCACUUAUAGAUGGAUCCGCGUUGCAUUAGCUAGUUGGUAAGGUAACGGCUUACCAAGGCAACGAUGCAUAGCCGACCUGAGAGGGUGAUCGGCCACACUGGAACUGAGACACGGUCCAGACUCCUACGGGAGGCAGCAGUAGGGAAUAUUCCGCAAUGGGCGAAAGCCUGACGCAGCAAUGCCGCGUGAGUGAAGAAGGCCUUCGGAUCGUAAAGCCCUGUUAUUAGGGAAGAACAGAUGCGUAAGUAUCCGUGGAUAUCCUGACGGUACCUAAUCAGUAAGCACCGGCUAACUACGUG
This 497-nucleotide ribosomal RNA is filed under the name uncultured bacterium. RNAcentral describes it as "partial 16S ribosomal RNA". It matches the Rfam family "Bacterial small subunit ribosomal RNA", at positions 28 to 507 of the family's 1533-position model. The record is from RNAcentral.